AUGGACAUGGCGUCGGUGCAGUUGCUGCCGGACGACGUGCUGGCGGAUAUCCUCCGCCGCCUCGGACCGCACGACCUCGCCGUCUCCCGCUGCGUCUGCAAGCCGUGGUGCGCCGUCAUCGAUGCUCGCCGCAUGCUACCCGCAGAUGCACACCUCCUCCCUCUCUCGUUGGCCGGCUUCUUCACUGUCUCCUGGACGGAAUCGCUCACCGCCUACUUCUCACGCCCAUGCGCCUCGAUCGUCGUCGGCAAGUUAGACUACCUGGACACCGAUGACGCCCGCUCUUUAUCGGUUGCAGAUCAAUGCAACGGCCUCGUCCUGCUUCACAGGCCAACGCUCUGGCCUGACGACCAGCGGGUGCUUAAUCCGGUCACGCGACAGUGGGCCAAGUUACCACCAUACCCACACCUGGUCUCGCCUUGCAUGAAGCAGGACUCCUACCAACGAGAGGACAUGUAUCUCGUGUUUGAUCCUUCGGUGUCGCCACAUUACGAGGUUUUCUUAUUCCACUCUGUUCCCUACAAUUGUUACGAGGUUGACGUGGUUGACGAGGAUGCAUUUGACCCAGCAGUAAAGAAAAUGGAAUGGCCACCAUCGUCCUACACUUUGCGGGUCUAUUCAUCAAAGACACGACAGUGGGAGACGAAGCCUUUUAUCCGAGAAGGGGAGGCCGCAGGCACAAUUGGCGACAUGGAAUCAGCUCUAUCACCCGGGCACUGCCAUGCGGCCUACUGGCAGAGGGCUCUGUAUGUCCACCAACAUGAUUUUGUGAUCAGAAUGACCUUAUCAAAUGAGAAGUACAAAGUGAUUAAGCUGCCAUUAGGUCUUGAUGUGCGAACCGAUGACGAACCAGAACAUUACCUAGGAAAGUCAGAAAAAGGGGUGUACUGUGCAUUACUCUACGGCAACAAUCGUCUUGGCGUUCGGAUUUGGUUCCUUGACGAAAUAUGUGGCAAGAUGGACUGGCUCCUGAAACGUGAUAUAAACCUUGGAAAUCUACUAGCAAAUUAUCCUUGGAAACACGGUGACAGGUCUUGGACUACGCAAUAUGUUAAUGAUGAAAUUGGCAGGAGCAUGACACCGGCAGGAGCAAAAUUUGAAUCAGACUACUCUACCAAUGAUAAUGUCAUCGUCCCCGAAUAUACCGUUUCUUUACUUGGAUUUCAUCCUUAUAGAGAGAUCAUCUUCUUCCGUACAUCCUUCGGAAGAGCAAUGGCUUAUCAAUUCAAUAGCUCAGAGAUUGUAGACACGGGUUACUUGCAAGGAAAGGGCCCUCAUGAUUGCGUAGGUGGAUCCUUUGCAUACACCCCGUGUCGGAUGGGGAAGCUGUCAAACAACAUGUAA
This 1344-nucleotide ribosomal RNA is filed under the name Triticum aestivum (bread wheat). RNAcentral's name for it is "partial small subunit ribosomal RNA". The record is from RNAcentral. Lineage: Eukaryota; Viridiplantae; Streptophyta; Magnoliopsida; Poales; Poaceae.